This 253-nucleotide ribosomal RNA is filed under the name uncultured bacterium. Its description in RNAcentral is "partial 16S ribosomal RNA". It matches the Rfam family "Bacterial small subunit ribosomal RNA", at positions 524 to 776 of the family's 1533-position model. The record is from RNAcentral.
UACGGGGGGGGCAAGCGUUGUUCGGAAUUACUGGGCGUAAAGGGCUCGUAGGCGGCCAACUAAGUCGGAUGUGAAAUCCCCAGGCUUAACCUGGGAACUGCAUCCGAUACUGGAUGGCUUGAAUUCGGGAGAGGGAUGCAGAAUUCCAGGUGUAGCGGUGAAAUGCGUAGAUAUCUGGAGGAAUACCGGUGGCGAAGGCGGCAUCCUGGACCGACAUUGACGCUGAUGCGCGAAAGCCAGGGGAGCAAACGGG